Mya arenaria is the source of this 4153-nucleotide RNA transcript. RefSeq lists it as uncharacterized. NCBI's taxonomy places the organism in Eukaryota, Metazoa, Mollusca, Bivalvia, Myida, Myidae. The transcript has 4 exons. The record is from RefSeq and is a predicted model, not a curated record.
AUUCCGUUUUCACAACUUCAAAAAAAUCAAUUUUGACAGAUUUCGAUAUCAACAUGCUUUCUCGAGUCUGUAGAAGUUUAUUCGUAUUAGGUUCUAGAGACAGCUCGGUAAUUGGAAAGACACUUUCAACAAGAAAUGCUGCAUCAGUAUCUGAAGUCAAAGAGGGACAUGAAAAUGUGAAAAAGAGAAAAUCUAAAAGAAAAGAUAAACAGUCAGAACAUGGAGACAAACCUGCUUAUGUUCUGGACUUCUUUAACAAUUGUGACUAUAUCACUCUUAACAGACUCUCAAGGAGCACUUUCAUUAAGAGAUCAAACAUAAAGAACAUCAUAUUGCCUAGUGAAAUGAUCAAGGGGGAUGAUGACAUGAAAUGCAGACAAAGAUUUGUGGACAUAAAUGAGUUUUGCGACAAAAGUGGUUUCAGUAAGACACAGAUAGACACACUAGCUGAUCUUGUCAUGAUGUUUGAGACCCAAGAGAAAAAGCAAGAAAAGUUUGCUAGGAUAUUUUACCCUGCAUUAGAAAUACCAGAUACAAAUGUAAGAGCAAAGUUAAAAGACAAUUGAGACUGUGGUCGCAGUGGAUAUUUUCUUGAAUGAUGUGAUUUGGUCUGAACAAGAUGUGUCCAGUAGACUGGUAACAAAUCUUGGUCACUUCUUUUUCGAUGUAAAAGACAACAAGAGGUUUGACCAUGUCAAACAUGGACAACAGAUGCAGAAAUUGUGUGAUCAACUUCCUGACUGUCCUAUGUAUUUCCUGAACAAUCGGUCGGGUAUGUUCUCCAGGGAUACAAGUGGCAUCACCCAAUACCAACAUCUUAUGGAAUCUAUCUUCAUUACCCAUAUGAACUUGAGGUCAAACACUGAUCUUGGUGAUUCUAACAAUGUGAUUUUAUUCACCCCAAAUACACUAGAUGCAUUUUACAACCUCAAGUUUGGACAAGAGGUGGAAAUGAUGUUUCCGUUACUGAAAUCGUGGUACAAGAAAUUUAAGAGCCCGAUAGAUGGAAUGUUAAUGUCGCCAAAGGUUGAGAUAAAGCUGUUCGCGAAGGAAACGGAUGAAAGAGUUCGUGAAAGAAUAUUAAGGUGCAUUCUUAUGUCAGAUGCUGGGUGUAAAAUUCUGCGCAGAAGUGAGAAAAAGUUUCCACGGUUUUAUUCUGAUUAGCUGUUCUGAGGACUUUGAUAAAGAUGUUUUAUGUAUUUUCAUCAGCCCAUGAUUUUAUUUAAAAUAAAUUGUUUGAUAAUAGAUUAGUUGAAUACAUUUCAAUCUGUUUAUUUUGUGCUAAAAUAAAUAAACUGUAGCAUAUUUUUAUGCCCCCCUUCGAAGAAGAGGGGUAUAUUGCUUUGCACAGGCAUGUCGGUAUGUCGGUCGGUCGGUCGGUCCGUCGGUAGACCAAAGCUUGUCCGAGUGAUAACUCAACAAUUCCUGGACGUAUGGUCAUCAAACUUCACAUGAAGGUUGGGCCUGACCAGUAGAUAAACCCUAUUGAUUUUGGGGGUCAUCGGGGUAACGGUCAAGGUCACAGUGACAUUUAAUGGUAAUUUUUUUUUAAAGCUUGUCCGAGUGCUAACUCAACAAUGCCUGCACCCAUGGCCCUCAAACUUGACAUGGAGGUUGGGCCUGACCAGUAGAUGACCCCUAUUGUUUUUGGGGAUCAUCAGGUUAAAGGUCAAGGUCACAGUGACCUUGAAUGGUAAAAGGUUGUCCGAGUGAUAACGUGACAAUGCCUGCACCCAUGGCCCUCAAACUUGACUUGGAGGUUGGGCCUGACGAGUUGCUGACCCCUAUUGUUUUUUGGGCUCAAUGGGUCAAAGGUCAAGGUCACAGUGACCUUGAAUGGUAAAAGGUUGUUCGAGUGAUAACUCAACAAUGCCUGCACCCAUGGCCCUCAAACUUGACUUGGAGGUUGGGCCUGACCAGUCGAUGACCCCUAUUGUUUUUGGGGGUCAUUGGGCCAAAGGUCAAGGUCACAGUGACCUUGAAUGGUAAAAGGUUGUCCGAUUGAUAACUCAACAAUGCCUGCACCCAUGGCCCUCAAACUUGACUUGGAGAAUUGGCCUGACCAGGAGAUGACCCCUAUGGUUUUGGGGGUCAUCUGGCCAAAGGUCAAGGUCACAGUGACCUGGAAUGGUAAAUGGUUGUCCGAGCGAUAACUCGACAAUGCCUGCACCCAUGACCCUCAAACUUGACUUGGAGGUUGGGCCUGGCCAGAAGAUGGUCCCUAUUGAUUUAAGGGGUCAUUGGGCCAAAGGUCAAGGUCACAGUGACCUGGAAUGGUAAAAGGUUAUCUGAGUGAUAACUUGACAAUGGCUGCACCCAUGGCCCUCAAACUUGAUUUGGAGGUUGAGCCUGGCCAGAAGAUUGUCCCUAUUAAUUUUAGGGGUCAUUGGGCCAAAGGUCAAGGUCACAGUGACCUUGAAUGAUAAAAGGUUGUCCAAGUGAUAACUCAACAAUGCCUGCACCCAUGGCCCUCAAACUUGACAUGGAGGUUGGGCCUGACCAGUAGAUGACCCCUAUUGAUUUUAGGGGUCAAAGGUCAAGGUCACAGUGACCUUGAAAGCAAACUCGACAAUUCUUGGACGUAUGGUCAUCAAACUUGACAUGAAGGUUGGGCCUGCCCAGUAGAUGACCCUUAUCGGCUUUGGGGGUCAUCAGGCCAAGGUCAAUGUCACAGUAACCUUUAACGCAAAAAGUUAUCAAAUCUUCCCCCACUGAUAUCUUAACAAUGCCUGAACCUAUGAUCAUUAAAUUUGACAUGGAUGUUAAGCCUGACCAGUAGAUCACCCUUAUUGAUUUUAGGAUUCAUAGAGCCAAAGGUCAAGGUCACAGUGAUCUUGAAUGGUAAAGGUUGUCCAAGUGAUAACUCAACAAUGCCUGAACCCAUGGCCUUCAAACUUGAAUUGGAGUUGCAUCUGACUUGUAGAUGACCCCUUAUGAUUUAAGGGGUCAAAGGUCAAGGUCGCAGUGACCUUGAACGAAAAAAACUUGUCUUGUGAUAACUUGACAAUGCCUGCACCCAUGGCCCUCAAACUUGACAUUUAGGUUUCAGGUGACCAGCUGAUGACUCUGGAUUUUGAGUUCAUAGAGUCAAAGGUCAUGACGGUCAUAUCACACUUUAUCCUCACACUUUAAUGGUCAUAAUCUUAAAACAGCAACAAAACAGCUGUCAUUUCGGUCCAUGCAUAUUUCAUUCAAUUGUCCAUAUAAUCCUGACAACAUGGCGCUCAGGGGGGGCAUAAUGUUUGACAAACAUCUUUUGUUUGUAUUUGAUUUAAUUAAGAAUUUUGUAAAUGUAUUGUUAAAAAUAAAGGAUACUGACAUUUUGUUAACUCAAUCACUUAGAUUACCAAGAUAUGUGGAUGCUAAUGACAUGCAUGCAUGCAAACCUAUAGAAUUUGUUUAAGGCAAAGAAGGCCAUUGUUUUCAAUAACUAAAUCAAAGAUUUUUAAAACCUAUUUGUUUGAUAGUAUCAAAUGUAACUCCCAGAAGUAUUGUCAGAGAUACUGAAGAUAAUGAAAUUGGCUCACAUGCAAAGCUUACUGCAAUGGGCAACCUAACUGCAGCAUCAAUAUGAGUAUCUACAUUUGUUAACAUGUAGUUAUACUGUCUUACAUUAUAACAGUACCAGUCGAUUGAAAGAUGGAUUUUGAAUGAUCAAUACAAAUGUGACUCUGUAGAGUUUUCAACAAUUUAUUUAGAAUAGAUAUUUUAUAUGGACCACAAAUGCUUGCUAAUUGAUACAAAACAACAGACAUGAACCAGAAGUUCACUAGAUUGUCAUGGUUUAAAUGCCAGUCCCCAAUUUACUUGCACAAUCGUCUUUAACAAGAUCGAGCUUCUUAUCUUUUGAAACACAAUCUGUGGUUUCUUUCUUUCAAAAAAAGUUUGAGACUUCAAAGGAAAUUAUUCCUUUGACAGUGGCCAUAUUUUUGGUUGGUUAAAGCAAGUAAUCAGGCUAUGUGGUAGAAGAUGCUUUGAGAAAUUGGGGACAGGUCAUGUAGUUAAAAAUGCUUUUGAGUGUUGGCCCCAAGUCAAAUUUGGAUUAAUUUCUGGACCAUGACAAUUUUAGGAAACAUUAAAGUGAAAACAUUUUGUAGAAAAUGGUGGCUUGUCAAUCAAAAUAUAAACAAUGUCUAAUAAAUAUCAAUAAUAG